GGCCCCGUAGCUCAGCCGGAUAGAGCAUUUGAUUCCUAAUCAAAGGGCCGUGAGUUCGAAUCUCGCCGGGGUCACCA
This 77-nucleotide transfer RNA is filed under the name Sphingobium sp. CAP-1. RNAcentral describes it as "tRNA-Arg". It matches the Rfam family "tRNA". From Rfam's summary of the family: Transfer RNA (tRNA) molecules are approximately 80 nucleotides in length. Their secondary structure includes four short double-helical elements and three loops (D, anti-codon, and T loops). Further hydrogen bonds mediate the characteristic L-shaped molecular structure. tRNAs have two regions of fundamental functional importance: the anti-codon, which is responsible for specific mRNA codon recognition, and the 3' end, to which the tRNAs corresponding amino acid is attached (by aminoacyl-tRNA synthetases). tRNAs cope with the degeneracy of the genetic code in two manners: having more than one tRNA (with a specific anti-codon) for a particular amino acid; and 'wobble' base-pairing, i.e. permitting non-standard base-pairing at the 3rd anti-codon position. The record is from RNAcentral. Lineage: Bacteria; Pseudomonadati; Pseudomonadota; Alphaproteobacteria; Sphingomonadales; Sphingobiaceae.